This 285-nucleotide unclassified non-coding RNA is filed under the name plant metagenome. Its description in RNAcentral is "partial contains small subunit ribosomal RNA, internal transcribed spacer 1, and 5.8S ribosomal RNA". The stretch from base 1 to 54 matches the Rfam family "Eukaryotic small subunit ribosomal RNA", at positions 1778 to 1831 of the family's 1831-position model. The record is from RNAcentral.
GGAUGUAAAAGUCGUAACAAGGUAUCCGUAGGUGAACCUGCGGAAGGAUCAUUAUUGUAUAACCGAGGUGCGAGGGCUGUCGCUGACCCGAAAGGUCGUGCACGCCCGAGUGCCCUCACACACAUCCAUCUCACCCCUAUGUGCACCACCGCGUGGGUCCCCCUUUGGCUUGUUCGGAGGGGGGCUUACGUUUUCACACAAACUUUGUAUGCAGUGUAGAAUGUAUUUUUUGUUUUUGCGAUCACGCAAUCAAUACAACUUUCAACAACGGAUCUCUUGGCUCUC